This 855-nucleotide ribosomal RNA is filed under the name uncultured Neocallimastigales. RNAcentral describes it as "partial large subunit ribosomal RNA". It matches the Rfam family "Eukaryotic large subunit ribosomal RNA", at positions 1 to 645 of the family's 3401-position model. Lineage: Eukaryota; Fungi; Neocallimastigomycota; Neocallimastigomycetes; Neocallimastigales. The record is from RNAcentral.
CGCAUCUGUGCAUGCAGCAUAUCAAUAAGCGGAGGAAAAGUACCUACGCUUAGGAUGUUGACACACGCGCGUGCUCGGCUCUAUACAUGACUCGGUGCAUAUCAAUAAGCGGAGGAAAAGAAACUAACAAGGAUUCCCUUAGUAACGGCGAGUGAAGCGGGAAGAGCUCAAAUUUGAAAUCUUCAAGGUUUUACCUUGACGAAUUGUAGUUUAAAGAAGUGUUUUCUGUUGAAGUUUUGGUAAAAGUUCUUUGGAAUAGGACAUCAUAGAGGGUGAGAAUCCCGUAUUUGACCAUUAUUUUCAGCUGUGUGAUACACUUUCAAAGAGUCGGAUUGUUUGGGAAUGCAGUCCAAAAUGGGUGGUAAAUUUCAUCUAAAGCUAAAUAUUGGCGAGAGACCGAUAGCGAACAAGUACCGUGAGGGAAAGAUGAAAAGAACUUUGAAAAGAGAGUUAAACAGUACGUGAAAUUGUCAAAAGGGAAAGCGUUUGACACCAGUGUUGUUUUCUCGAAAAUCAAUUAAAAAGAGUUAGAUUUUGUUGUGUAUUGACCUUAACAGCUUGCAUUUCAAUUUUCUUGCUCUUUUUAAUGCACUUUUCGUUUAACAAGUCAACAUCAGUUUCUUUUGUUGUAAAAAGGUCAUUGGGAAGGUGGCUUUCUUUUCGGAGAAAGUGUUUAUAGCCUUUGACUCCUGCAAUCGGAGAGACUGAGGUCUGCAGCGUAGAUCCUUCGGGGUUAGAUACAUUUGUGCUAAGUUAUAGCUUUUUAUAGACAACUUGUUGACUAUGAUUAGUCUUGUAGCUUACUCGCUUAUGCUAUUUUACCUACGCUUAGGAUGUUGAUGUGAUACUGCGAGC